This 193-nucleotide ribosomal RNA is filed under the name uncultured bacterium. RNAcentral describes it as "partial 16S ribosomal RNA". It matches the Rfam family "Bacterial small subunit ribosomal RNA", at positions 336 to 526 of the family's 1533-position model. The record is from RNAcentral.
CUCCUACGGGAGGCAGCAGUAAGGAAUAUUGGUCAAUGGAGGCAACUCUGAACCAGCCAUGCCGCGUGCAGGAAGACGGCCCUACGGGUUGUAAACUGCUUUUGUACUGGAAUAAACCUUGAUACGUGUAUCAAGCUGAAUGUACAGUAAGAAUAAGGAUCGGCUAACUCCGUGCCAGCAGCCGCGGUAAUAC